AAGGGCACCACAAGAACGCGUGGAGCAUGUGGCUUAAUUUGACUCAACGCGGGAAAUCUUACCGGGUCCGGACACACUGAGGAUUGACAGGCAAUAUUAAUAUAUACUUUCUCUCUCGCACUCUCACGAGUGUGUGUGCUGUAAAGUCAUAUAUUAUGUUAAAUAUGCUAGUCCUUUCAUGAUUAUGUGAUAGGUGGUGCAUGGCCGUUCUUAGUUCGUGGAGUGAUCUGUCUGCCUAAUUGCGUUUCACUAAGGGCCUAUACAAUUACGUAUGUUGUUAUUGCACUUUGACCCCUCCUUCGCGGGUGCGUGUGUCUUUGACUGCUUCAACUCAUACAAUUAGGUCCUGAAAGCAACGAACGUGACCGCAACCUCUUGUUGCUUUCGUAUACCCUUAUAACACAGUUAUAUUUUUAUUUUAUGCUUUACCGCAUAUAUACUAAUUUGCUGUGCAAGAAAGCUUUUUAAACUAGAGGGACCGCUGUUAUCUUCUUAAACCAGAGGAAGGUUGCGGCAAUAACAGGUCUGUGAUGCCCUUAGAUGUUCCGGGCUGCACACGUGCUACAAUGAUUAUUGCAGUGAGCAUCUCAUUUAUUAUACACCGCAUGCGCGAGUCCAUUUAUUCAUUUUACCUUCGGGUUAUGCUUUAAAUGUGUAUCUCUGCGCGCGGUAAAGCCUGCUUCGAAAGUAAGUGGGUAAUCAAUUAGAAGUAAUGAUUUCCUUUUUUUUCUGCACACAUAUAUACGGCAGCUAUACCCGGGUAACCUUGUUGUUACUUUUGUGCGUAUAGUUGUACCCUUUUUCCGUAUGUGCGAUUGUCAAUUCAUGGUGGGGACAGACCAUUGUUAAUUGUUGGUCUCGGUCUUAACUAGGAAUGCCUUGUACGGGUCUUUGGUUCAACAAACCACCCGGAAUACGUCCCUGCCCUUUGUACACACCGCCCGUCGCUCUUACCGAUGGACUUCUCUGUGAGUUUGAGGGACUGGGAACGCAUUGCGUAUAUCUUAUGCGCUCUGCACACCUAUGGAAACUUAAACGAACAGUGUGGUCUAAAGGAAAGAGAAGUCGUAACAAGGCAUCAGUAGGUGAACCUGCAGAAGGAUCA
Molecule: ribosomal RNA, 1105 nt
Filed under: Uvigerina phlegeri
Lineage: Eukaryota; Foraminifera; Rotaliida; Uvigerinidae
Description: SSU rRNA
Rfam family: Eukaryotic small subunit ribosomal RNA
Source: RNAcentral